GUGUCAGCAGCCGCGGUAAUACGUAGGGGGCAAGCGUUGUCCGGAAUCAUUGGGCGUAAAGCGCGUGUAGGCGGCUCGGUAAGUCCGUUCUGAAAGCCCGGGGCUCAACCCCGGGAGGCGGAUGGAUACUGUCGAGCUCGAGUACGGAAGAGGCGAGUGGAAUUCCCGGUGUAGCGGUGAAAUGCGCAGAUAUCGGGAGGAACACCAAUGGCGAAGGCAGCUCGCUGGGACGUUACUGACGCUGAGACGCGAAAGCGUGGGGAGCAAACAGGAUUAGAUACCCUGGUAGUCCACGCCGUAAACGAUGGAUACUAGGUGUGGGAGGUGUCGACUCCUCCCGUGCCGAAGCUAACGCAUUAAGUAUCCCGCCUGGGGAGUACGGCCGCAAGGCUAAA
RNAcentral lists this ribosomal RNA (395 nucleotides) under uncultured bacterium. Its description in RNAcentral is "bacterial SSU rRNA". It matches the Rfam family "Bacterial small subunit ribosomal RNA", at positions 505 to 898 of the family's 1533-position model. The record is from RNAcentral.